This 3655-nucleotide long non-coding RNA is filed under the name Xyrichtys novacula (pearly razorfish). The record is from RNAcentral. Lineage: Eukaryota; Metazoa; Chordata; Actinopteri; Labriformes; Labridae.
UUGAGCUUCAUUUUGGGAAAACUGCAAACCGAGUUCAUCAUGUAUAUCUAGGGGUCUGUAAGGACUAAUAUUUCACACUGCUAAAGCGUCUCAAGUUGGAGUUUCAUCCGUGAAUAAAAGGCUUUUUCUGCCGGUAUGAUUUUGUUUUUUUGCUGAUCUUUUUUAGGUACUUUUCAGUCUUUUAGUCCAGUUUCGUCUCCUUUGCUUCACUCUCAGCCUUGUGUCCUCGUGUCUCUGGAUCACUGGCAGUGGAGUGGACAAUCAGACAGCAGGGCUUCCCUCCUGUUGGGUCUGUGAUGGAUGAGGGCUAUGUGUGAUCACUCCACGAUGACACACACCUAAUCCUCUCCUCUCCUCCACUCUCAAUCACCGCUCCCCUUCUGCAUUCCUCUCCUCUCUCUGUUUUCUCUCCUCCAUUCCCAUCUCUUUUUUGUUAUUUCUCUAAUCUUCUCUUAUCUUCUCCUCCCUUCCUCUCACCUCAGUCCCUUUUCUCGUUUUCCUCAUAUCAAAGUUUUCUUGGUCACAUUUUUCCUGUUUCCCCUUACACACCUUUUUUUAUGCAUCCGCUCCUCUCCUCCUCCUCCUCCUCCUCCUCCUCCUCCUCCUCUGUCCUGUGGUGUCCAGAGGAGUGACAGAGGGUUAGUCAGGGGGUCAAUGAUUUGUGCUGUGUUGUCAGCAGUGCUGCAGUGACAGGUCCUGACGACGCUGUUCAUGGGAAAUGCAGCAUGUUUAUGCUAAUGUCUGCUUGCAUCCUAACAACAUGUCUGGGAAAUGGAGCUGUCAAGACACCCUGUGGGACACAGGCACACUCACUCACUCACACACACACACAAACACAAUUACACAAUUACACACAUUAUUCAGGGCAUAUGAAAAACUUUGUGUCUCCAUUCUGAAGAAAUCCUGAGUGUACUGCCAUUUCUUAUCCAUUCACAGGCUUUCCUGCCCCAUCAGAUACAGAUGAUUGUUUUCGCAACCAUGUGCAUUGAAAAUUCAGCUGUUACACCAAGGCCACACUGACAAUCCCUCCCUGAAAGUACCCUCUCAUGUGGAGCUGUUCCUUUUUUUACAUUAUCUUUUCUUCUCUUCUCUUCUCUUCUCAUCUUGUACUCCCCUGCCUCCUCCUCCUUCUCUUUCCCCUGGCCUCUUCCUUUCAGUUCCCUGCCUCCACCUUGCACUGUCCCUUAUACUUUCCCUGUAUUGGAUUUGAACCCAUGAUCACUACAUUCGAUGCAGCAGCUCAAACCCUCACACCACAGGCCUGCCUGCUUGUGCCAGACUGUUUAGGUAUUUCUUGUUUAAUCAUAUUUGGACAGCUCCUAAAAGACUAAGCUCAGUCUACAUCCAUCCAUCCAUUUUCUACAGCUUAUUCCCGUUAGGGGUUGCAAGGGGACUGCGGCCUGUCCCAGUAUCUUCGGGCGAAGGCAGAGGACAUCCUGGACAAGUCACCAGUUUAUCGCAGGGCUGACAAAUAGAGGCGAACAACCAUCCACGCUCACACUCACACAUAUGGGCAAUUUGAAAGUGGCCAAUUAACCUAACCUCACUUAGGCAUGUUUUUGGGAUGUGGGAGGAAACCAGAGUACCUGGAGUAAACCCACGCAGACACAAGGAGAACAUGCAAACUCCACACAGAAACGCCCUGACCCGGAUUCAAACCCAAGACCUUCUUGCUGUGAGGCGACAGUGCUAACCACUACAUCACUGUGCCACUUUGCUCCGUCUACAGUGUAAGGAAAACAUUUCAUUUUGGCUCCAUUUGAAAGACCCUGAUCCUGACAGAUUUGAACCCAGGACCAUGUCAGUUAAAGGCAGAAGACUGUCUGGGUCUUUUGUUUUAAACAUUUCAUUAUCACAUCUUAAAACCUUGGUUCAGUCCACAGUGUCAGUUCUCAGUGUUUUAUUCUUUAGAUCAGUUUUCAGUGUUUCCUGUUUUAUUUUGUAUAGUAGUCCAUCCUUGUGUGUAUAGUCUUGUUUUACUUCCUCAGUUUUCCCUCCUCUGUAAUUGUCUUCACCUGUGUCUCAGUGUCUCACCUGCCUCUCGUUACUCACUUCCUUGGGUGUAUAUAUAGUCCCUGUCUUCCCCUGUUUCUUUGUUGGCUGAUUGUGCGUGUUUGUUGGUCAGUGUGUUUCAGUCAUAGUUGAUGUGUGAAUUAGGGGUGUCCUUAUACAACUAUUUUACUUCCGAUACAAUACCGAUUUUGUAGCCUUUAAUAUUGAACGAUACCGUUAUUGAUGCGAUAUUGGCAUAAAAUUGUGUAUGACAAGUUUUGCAUUCAGCUGCAACGUCUUUUUUGGACUUAAACAGAAAAUACUUCCACACGUCUGACAUCACUUUUACUCCUUGGUACUUUGUUAGUACCUUAGUACACACUGUUGUUGUGAUAACCUGGGCUCUGCAUGCUGGAUUUGGGUGCUGCUAGAUAGAAGGGCUGGAGCAGAGGCUGGAAUGGACUGCCUGUAUUGGCGUGCUGAUAUCAGAGAUUUUAGACGCAGGCCAAUAUGAUCUGAUAUUCGUUUUUUUGCAAAAACCGGACCAAUAUCCAAUAUCAAUUUAACAUCUGGACACCCUGAGUGGGAAUCGCAAGUUUCGUUGUGUUUUUUUCCCACUGCUUUGUUUUUUUUGUUUUGGAUUUUGCCUUUGGUAUGUUUUAGUUGGACAUUUUUGAAGUAGGUUUUUGUUGCUUUUCAUUUAUUUGUUUUUAAUAGAUCCUUUUUUUGUCUGGAUUUUGGGUCCUUUUCCUUUGUUUACCCUGCCUAAUAAAAAAAUACAAAACCAGCAUCAGAAACUUUAUUUUAAUGGACUCCACUGAUGUUUCCUGACUAUACACAGUUUUAAGCUUGGUGUGAUCAUGCAUCAGAAAUCCAAAAUCAGCUAUUUAGGCCUCACUCACUGUGCAAAUGUAGUUUUUCAAUAUCAAUUAAUCCAAGGGUUGACAUCCAGGGUUAUCUGAAACUAGUUGUGUGUGAAAAAACCUGGUAACACAUCUCCAAAAUUGCAAAUUUAUGUCUUUUGUCAGGGCAGAGAAAAUGGUAGACUACAAUUUAGAGCAACUUUCCAUCCAGAAAGUUUUGGAUUAAAACCCCGCUGCAGCUGACACUGGCUCGUUGCUUUACAAAUGUCAUCUGCCUGAUAUGAAGACACUGGCUGUAUAUUUGGAACCAGCUAAUGGGAGACUUCUGUGCUGUCAUGCAGAGUGUAUGCAAUAGAGCAGAACCAUUUGUGUGCAAAAUAGUCUGUGACAACAACAAAACUUCCAAACCUUAUUAGAGAAACAUCAUAAUCAGUCGCUCUAUCCAAACAAAUCCUCCUUUCACUGUGCCAUCUGCACACUCUCACACAGACUCACAUGGAGUUAUAAAUCAUUCUGGAGAAAAACUACCUGCAACAGCACAUUUGUCAGAAGUGUGAGGAAGCUUCAGUUUAUAAUUAUCUUUUGCUUCUGUGCUAUGUGGCGCUUGCUUCUGCUCAUUAGUGAGGAAUGAAAAUAAUACUUAUUUAUUGGUUUAUUUAUAGAAAUGGCAGAUCUGAGGUAAAUGUAAACAGCCAAAACUUAAGAAUACCAAAAGACACAACCAUUAGAGGAGAUACCUUGACAUGUACAUUCAAACCCUAACUUCUAAUUACCUACAAAACCCAAACUGCUAAUUGCAA